Onychostoma macrolepis is the source of this 977-nucleotide long non-coding RNA. RefSeq lists it as uncharacterized. NCBI's taxonomy places the organism in Eukaryota, Metazoa, Chordata, Actinopteri, Cypriniformes, Cyprinidae. The transcript is spliced from 3 exons. The record is from RefSeq and is a predicted model, not a curated record.
AACGCAGUGCGUUCUAGAUCCUUCUUUUCUCCGUGAACUUGAGAUGAGAGCAGAUGUCUGUCGCUGUUCCAGGAGAUUCAGUGCUCAGAAUUUAAUAUAAAAGACGACUGAGAGAAAAGCAGAUCGUGUCUGAGAGUGAUAUCUUCAAACGUGUACCAUCGGGAGUUUUCCUGCUUCAUAUGUAUAUUGAAUGAGUUUCCUUGGCCAGGUUUUUUUUUUCCUUCUUGGUUUGGUUCCAUGUGAUGUUCUGUUGACGUUCAGCUGCUGAACGUGGUCUGCUCUGGAUGUGAAUCGAGUGAAGUGUGAACCCUUCCUGGAUUGUGACCUGUCUCAACUCUCUCCUGUGUCUGUAACGGUGGAGUUGGACUGGCGAGCCGCCCAUUAACUGAACCCUGUAAACAUUCCUGUUUUGAACCGUAAUUGAACUUGUACAUCUUCAAAUGGUAGGAGUGAAAUUUCGUAUCACACUUAUUUCGGCAUAGACUUUAGAGACUUCAGAUUUCAUCGAUUCCUGGACUGAACUGAUUUUUUUUAUUUAUUUUUUUAUCAUUUACUUUUUUUCUCAAAGAAUCAAUAUGAGUGUUCAUCACGAGCAUUGGACUCUUGAUCAAUUUUGAAGUGUUCAGACUGAAUGUAAUUUUGUUUUGAGUUUUUUCAGAGGUUGUUAUGAGUAAAUGUUCAAAGUAUUGAAUAACUAAACUAAGAACAAAUUUAAGAACAAAACCGUUAAAGAAGGGAAAAUAUUGAUUACAUUCUUGAUGAUGAAUAUCUUUAAGAAUUAACUUGGUGAAUUUGCUAUCAACAAAGAAAAGAAAAACAGAAGGGAUGAGUGAUAUUACCAUAAAACCUGUAAGGAAAGAAAACGGUACAAAUCGUUACUAUUGAAUGUAAACUAAACUGAGGUUAUUGUACACUGCAUAUUAUAUAUUUUUUUUAAAUAAUUUUUGUGGUCCUUGUUAAAAUAUAAUCUCUUCUUA